This 649-nucleotide ribosomal RNA is filed under the name uncultured Actinomycetes bacterium. Its description in RNAcentral is "bacterial SSU rRNA". It matches the Rfam family "Bacterial small subunit ribosomal RNA", at positions 229 to 888 of the family's 1533-position model. Lineage: Bacteria; Bacillati; Actinomycetota; Actinomycetes. The record is from RNAcentral.
AUUCGCGGCCUAUCAGCUUGUUGGUGAGGUAAUGGCUCACCAAGGCUUCGACGGGUAGCCGGCCUGAGAGGGCGACCGGCCACACUGGGACUGAGAUACGGCCCAGACUCCUACGGGAGGCAGCAGUGGGGAAUAUUGCACAAUGGGCGCAAGCCUGAUGCAGCAACGCCGCGUGCGGGAUGACGGCCUUCGGGUUGUAAACCGCUUUCAGUGGGGACGAAGCGCAAGUGACGGUACCCACAGAAGAAGGACCGGCUAACUACGUGCCAGCAGCCGCGGUGAUACGUAGGGUCCGAGCGUUGUCCGGAAUUAUUGGGCGUAAAGGGCUUGUAGGCGGUCCGUCGCGUCAGGAGUGAAAACUCGGGGCUUAACCCCGAGCCUGCAGUGGGUACGGGCGGACUAGAGGGAUGCAGGGGAGAACGGAAUUCCUGGUGGAGCGGUGGAAUGCGCAGAUAUCAGGAGGAACACCGGUGGCGAAGGCGGUUCUCUGGGCAUCACCUGACGCUGAGAAGCGAAAGCGUGGGGAGCAAACAGGCUUAGAUACCCUGGUAGUCCACGCCGUAAACGGUGGGCGCUAGGUGUGGGACUCAUUCCACGAGUUCCGUGCCGCAGCUAACGCAUUAAGCGCCCCGCCUGGGGAGUACGGAAU